UGAGCAAUCUGCCCUUCUCUUCGGAAUAAGCGUUGGAAACGACGUCUAAUGCCGAAUACGACCUCCUCUCACAUGAUCGGAGGUGGAAAGCUCCGGCGGAGAGGGAUGAGCUCGCGGCCUAUCAGCUAGUUGGUGUGGGUAAUGGCCCACAAGGCGACGACGGGUAGCCGGCCUGAGAGGGUGACCGGCCACACGUGGGACUGAGACACGGCCCAGACCUCCGUACGGGAGCAG
This 234-nucleotide ribosomal RNA is filed under the name uncultured bacterium. RNAcentral's name for it is "partial 16S ribosomal RNA". It matches the Rfam family "Bacterial small subunit ribosomal RNA", at positions 118 to 347 of the family's 1533-position model. The record is from RNAcentral.